Molecule: ribosomal RNA, 518 nt
Filed under: uncultured fungus
Lineage: Eukaryota; Fungi
Description: eukaryotic LSU rRNA
Rfam family: 5.8S ribosomal RNA (bases 175-328)
Source: RNAcentral
CUAACAGGUUUCCGUAGGUGAACCUGCGGAAGGAUCAUUAAUAAUGCCCUCUGACGCAAGUCAUUGGGUUAGAUCUGCUCUCUUCGCAAGAAGAGGGUUUCCAUACACACCGUGAACUGUGGCUUCGGCCAUCACAAACUGUUAGUAAUGAAUGUAAUAUCAUAACAAAAACAAAACUUUUAACAACGGAUCUCUUGGCUCUCGCAUCGAUGAAGAACGCAGCGAAAUGCGAUAAGUAAUGUGAAUUGCAGAAUUCAGUGAAUCAUCGAAUCUUUGAACGCACCUUGCGCCCUUUGGUAUUCCGAAGGGCAUGCCUGUUUGAGUGUCAUGAAACCUCACCCCACUUGGGUUUUUGCCUGAGCGGUGGUGUAUUGGGUGUUGCCUUGCUAAAGGCUCGCCUUAAAGACAUAAGCACCUUGGAUGUAAUACGUUUCAUCCUUCUGGGUGGCUGAUAACCCCACAUAUUCAUGAUCUGGCCUCAAAUCAGGUAGGGCUACCCGCUGAACUUAAGCAUAUCA